This 576-nucleotide ribosomal RNA is filed under the name uncultured bacterium. RNAcentral's name for it is "bacterial SSU rRNA". It matches the Rfam family "Bacterial small subunit ribosomal RNA", at positions 8 to 582 of the family's 1533-position model. The record is from RNAcentral.
AGGGUUUGAUCAUGGCUCAGAUUGAACGCUGGCGGCAUGCUUUACACAUGCAAGUCGAACGGUAACAGGCCGCAAGGUGCUGACGAGUGGCGAACGGGUGAGUAAUGUAUCGGAACGUGCCCAGUCGUGGGGGAUAACGCAGCGAAAGCUGCGCUAAUACCGCAUACGAUCUAUGGAUGAAAGCGGGGACCGUAAGGCCUCGCGCGAUUGGAGCGGCCGAUAUCAGAUUAGGUAGUUGGUGGGGUAAAGGCUCACCAAGCCAACGAUCUGUAGCUGGUCUGAGAGGACGACCAGCCACACUGGGACUGAGACACGGCCCAGACUCCUACGGGAGGCAGCAGUGGGGAAUUUUGGACAAUGGGCGCAAGCCUGAUCCAGCAAUGCCGCGUGCAGGAAGAAGGCCUUCGGGUUGUAAACUGCUUUUGUACGGAACGAAACGGUCCUGGUUAAUACCUGGGGCUAAUGACGGUACCGUAAGAAUAAGCACCGGCUAACUACGUGCCAGCAGCCGCGGUAAUACGUAGGGUGCAAGCGUUAAUCGGAAUUACUGGGCGUAAAGCGUGCGCAGGCGGUUUU